CGUGUUCAAAGUUACACCAAAGAGUACAUAUGUGAUUCAAAUUGUGAUUGUUUGACUAACAGUUAAGAUAACAUCCAUAAACUAUACUUCAUCAUGUCAAAAUUUUAUGAUUGUCAUUUCACACUUUUGAUCUCCUUUUCGUUUACAGUUUUCGAUUAUAAUCUUAAAAUAUAUCUUAGAGGUAUUUCUAUGAACCCUCUAAUUAAUAUAAUGUCUCCAGGCGUCCAUGGCAACGUCUGUCCAAGUUCAAAAUCAUCGUAAAUUGGUCUGGUGUUUCCAAGUCUCACGAUUGUUUGAAACAACCGUGAAGCUACUUUUCUUGCC
RNAcentral lists this long non-coding RNA (324 nucleotides) under Mytilus galloprovincialis (Mediterranean mussel). The record is from RNAcentral. Lineage: Eukaryota; Metazoa; Mollusca; Bivalvia; Mytilida; Mytilidae.